Molecule: ribosomal RNA, 498 nt
Filed under: uncultured bacterium
Lineage: Bacteria
Description: partial 16S ribosomal RNA
Rfam family: Bacterial small subunit ribosomal RNA
Source: RNAcentral
ACUCAAAUGAAUUGACGGGGGCCCGCACAAGCGGUGGAGCAUGUGGUUCAAUUCGACGCAACGCGAAGAACCUUACCGGGGUUUGAACCGCACGGGACAGCUCUAGAGAUAGAGUCUCUCUUCGGAGCCCGUGUAGAGGUGCUGCAUGGCUGUCGUCAGCUCGUGUCGUGAGAUGUUGGGUUAAGUCCCGCAACGAGCGCAACCCUUGCCUCCUGUUGCUAACAGGUAAAGCUGAGCACUCUGGAGGAACUGCCGGCGAUAAGCCGGAGGAAGGUGGGGAUGACGUCAAGUCCUCAUGGCCUUUAUGCCCCGGGCUACACACGUGCUACAAUGGCUGGUACAAAGGGUUGCAAAACCGCGAGGUGGAGCUAAUCCCAGAAAGCCAGUCCCAGUUCGGAUUGCAGUCUGCAACUCGACUGCAUGAAGUUGGAAUCGCUAGUAAUCGCGGAUCAGCACGCCGCGGUGAAUACGUUCCCGGGCCUUGUACACACCGCCCGU